AUGGGGUUUGAUGAUUUGCCUUUUGAUUGUCUCAAUAACAGUGGCCCCGGGCCCCACCUGGUAGCCUUUGGAAGGGAGGGGCAUUAUCGGGCAAAAGAUCCAAUUUUCCCACACACAUGCACAUACAAGAGCCACAUUUUCCAAAUCCCAGUCGUCAGAGCUCGCUCCCUUCUUCCCCCAAAUCCCUCGCGCAGCCACACUCCCCUCCCUACUGACACAUUUGAGCUUGAGCUAGGGUUUCUCACCACCGGCGGCGGGAUGGGCAUCCUCGAGCACAGCCAAAAUUCCUCUCCGCGACGGCAUGGGCAUCAGGAAAUGACCUCACUGCCUAUCCCCGACGACCUCCUGCCUGAAAUCUUCCUCCGCCUGCCCACCCCGUGCGACCUCAUCCGAGCCUCCGCCGUCUGCGCCUCCUUCCGCCGCGUCGUCGUCGACCGCCCCUUCCUCCGGAGGUACCACAAGCUCCAUUCCCCGCCCCUCAUCGGCUUCCUCGAUUUUCGCCGAGUCUUCCACCCGGCCGAACCGCCUCACCCCUCCGCGUCUGCAGCCAAAGCCGUCGCCCUCGCCGCUGACUUCACCUUGUCCUUCCUCCCUACCCCAGCCGGUGACUGGACCAUUUCGGACAUCUGCGGCGGUCUUGUCCUCCUCAAGAGGCGCGACUGUGCGGAGCUGGUGGUGUGCGACCCCUUGCACCGGCGGCACCUCCUGCUUCCCCCAAUCCCUGAAUUCGACGAGUGGGUUCAUUCAGUGGACAAGCCACGCACGUUUGGGUGUCAGAUCCUCCUGGUGGGCGGUGACGAGGAGGCUUCAGAGGAGGCAUUUUUCAGAGUGAUAUAUGUGGAAUUCACCCUACAUGAGGAAGCCGUCUUCGUCUUCUCUUCCAGCACCGGAGAAUGGCGAGCUACUCCUUCGGCACCACGAUCGCCUUACUCAUGCUGGCUCCAGUAUGCAUAUGGCUGCUUGUAUGGGGUGACAGUUCUCACUCAUAGACCUCCCACCCGCAGCCAGAGCCAGCUCUUCUCAUGUGCAAGUUCCAGCCAGUGGAAGUUGAAGACAAUCUCACUGGAUUCUUCCCAGUACUCUUUCAAGGUGAGAUCGACGGGGAGGAACUUGUUCCUACAACAUUGCAGAAAUCCAUCACCUGAUGCCGGCCUUUUCUCAAUGGACAUCAACACAUUCCAGCUUGAGAGGGUGUUUGGUUCCAACUAUAGCAUGCUUUACCCUUGGGCAUAUAACAACUUUCCACUAUCAUUGUCGACUCCAGCAGUAUCAAGUGGUACUCAGCAAAAUGAUGAGAAGGAGAUGCUGGAACAAGGUGCGGAGGCGCUGCAGGCUGAAGAGCCCAUAGGUAGCCCCCAUGCCGAGAGAACUGAUGAUGAUGCGAAUGCUGGAGGUCAGGCCGGUGUAUCAAGGACUGGGGAUGAUGCUGAUUGA
This 1434-nucleotide ribosomal RNA is filed under the name Triticum aestivum (bread wheat). RNAcentral describes it as "partial small subunit ribosomal RNA". Lineage: Eukaryota; Viridiplantae; Streptophyta; Magnoliopsida; Poales; Poaceae. The record is from RNAcentral.